This 497-nucleotide ribosomal RNA is filed under the name uncultured bacterium. RNAcentral's name for it is "partial 16S ribosomal RNA". It matches the Rfam family "Bacterial small subunit ribosomal RNA", at positions 28 to 507 of the family's 1533-position model. The record is from RNAcentral.
GAUGAACGCUGGCGGCGUGCCUAAUACAUGCAAGUCGAGCGAACGGACGAGAAGCUUGCUUCUCUGAUGUUAGCGGCGGACGGGUGAGUAACACGUGGAUAACCUACCUAUAAGACUGGGAUAACUUCGGGAAACCGGAGCUAAUACCGGAUAAUAUUUUGAACCGCAUGGUUCAAAAGUGAAAGACGGUCUUGCUGUCACUUAUAGAUGGAUCCGCGCUGCAUUAGCUAGUUGGUAAGGUAACGGCUUACCAAGGCAACGAUGCAUAGCCGACCUGAGAGGGGGAUCGGCCACACUGGAACUGAGACACGGUCCAGACUCCUACGGGAGGCAGCAGUAGGGAAUCUUACGCAAUGGGCGAGAGCCUGACGCAGCAACGCCGCGUGAGAGAUGAAGGUCUUCGGAUCGUAAAACUCUGUUAUUAGGGAAGAACAUAUGUGUAAGUAACUGUGCACAUCUUGACGGUACCUAAUCAGAAAGCCCCGGCUAACUACGUG